ACUACAUUAGACUACCCCGUAGUCCUAGCCGUAAACGAUACUCGCUAGGUGUCGGCCACGGUGCGACCGUUGUCGGUGCCGUAGGGAAGCCGUGAAGCGAGCCACCUGGGAAGUACGGCCGCAAGGCUGAAACGUUAAAGGAAUUGGCGGGGAGCACCACAAGAGGUGGAGGCUGCGGUUCAAUUGGAUUCAACGCCGGAAACUCAUCGGGAGCGACAGCAGUAUGAUUGCCAGGUUGAUGACCUUGCUUGACAAGCUG
RNAcentral lists this ribosomal RNA (259 nucleotides) under uncultured archaeon. Its description in RNAcentral is "partial 16S ribosomal RNA". It matches the Rfam family "Archaeal small subunit ribosomal RNA", at positions 719 to 982 of the family's 1478-position model. The record is from RNAcentral.